Molecule: ribosomal RNA, 301 nt
Filed under: uncultured bacterium
Lineage: Bacteria
Description: partial 16S ribosomal RNA
Rfam family: Bacterial small subunit ribosomal RNA
Source: RNAcentral
CAGCAGCCGCGGUAAUACGAAGGGGGCUAGCGUUGUUCGGAAUUACUGGGCGUAAAGCGCACGUAGGCGGACAUUUAAGUCAGGGGUGAAAUCCCGGGGCUCAACCCCGGAACUGCCUUUGAUACUGGGUGUCUAGAGUAUGGAAGAGGUGAGUGGAAUUCCGAGUGUAGAGGUGAAAUUCGUAGAUAUUCGGAGGAACACCAGUGGCGAAGGCGGCUCACUGGUCCAUUACUGACGCUGAGGUGCGAAAGCGUGGGGAGCAAACAGGAUUAGAUACCCCAGUAGUCCCUGUCUCUUAUAA